GCAAACUAAGAAGAAUAUUACCAGUUACUGGAUAAUAGACUCUUAGGGGACCAAAGUAUCUAUCUAGGUAAGAGCUAGAAAGAAAACGGUCAAUCAAGACUCAACCCAAUGAGGGCAUAACUCAAGGGGAGCAAUUCCAUCCAGAAAAUACGCUGGAGAGGAAACUGAAAUAACAACCAUCCACGAGGAAACUUACUCAAUGGGGAAACGGAGAAAGGUUAAAUUCUUUCUGCUUAAAGGGCUGACAACUUACAAUUGAAGG
RNAcentral lists this long non-coding RNA (262 nucleotides) under Lathyrus oleraceus (garden pea). Its description in RNAcentral is "Pisum sativum (pea) long non-coding RNA (PSAT_LNC002793)". Lineage: Eukaryota; Viridiplantae; Streptophyta; Magnoliopsida; Fabales; Fabaceae. The record is from RNAcentral.